This 420-nucleotide ribosomal RNA is filed under the name uncultured bacterium. RNAcentral's name for it is "bacterial SSU rRNA". It matches the Rfam family "Bacterial small subunit ribosomal RNA", at positions 355 to 772 of the family's 1533-position model. The record is from RNAcentral.
UGAGGAAUAUUGGGCAAUGGACGCAAGUCUGACCCAGCCAUGCCGCGUGCAGGAUGAAGGCGUUCUGCGUUGUAAACUGCUUUUAUCUGGGAAGAAACCUGAGUAUUCUUAUUCAGCCGACGGUACCAGAUGAAUAAGCACCGGCUAACUCCGUGCCAGCAGCCGCGGUAAUACGGAGGGUGCAAGCGUUAUCCGGAUUCACUGGGUUUAAAGGGUGUGUAGGCGGAUAUUUAAGUCAGUGGUGAAAUCUCCAGGCUCAACCUGGAAACUGCCAUUGAUACUAUUUAUCUUGAAUUCUGUUGAGGUGGGCGGAAUACAUCAUGUAGCGGUGAAAUGCUUAGAUAUGAUGUAGAACACCGAUUGCGAAGGCAGCUCACUAAACAGCGAUCGACGCUGAGGCACGAAAGCGUGGGGAUCAAA